This 200-nucleotide ribosomal RNA is filed under the name uncultured eukaryote. Its description in RNAcentral is "partial 18S ribosomal RNA". It matches the Rfam family "Eukaryotic small subunit ribosomal RNA", at positions 588 to 796 of the family's 1831-position model. The record is from RNAcentral.
GCUCCAAUAGCGUAUAUUUAAGUUGUUGCAGUUAAAAAGCUCGUAGUUGGAUUUCGGGCGUGUCGCGUUGGUCCGCCAAUGGUGAGUACUGGCGUCGGCGCGCCUUCCUGCCGGGGACGGGCUCCUGGGCUUCACUGUCUGGGACUCGGAGUCGGCGACGUACUUUGAGAAAAUUAGAGUGUUCAAGCAGGCCUACGCUC